Branchiostoma floridae (Florida lancelet) is the source of this 2173-nucleotide long non-coding RNA. RefSeq lists it as uncharacterized. Lineage: Eukaryota; Metazoa; Chordata; Leptocardii; Amphioxiformes; Branchiostomatidae. The record is from RefSeq and is a predicted model, not a curated record. The transcript is spliced from 5 exons.
GCUGUACGGUGACGUCCAGAAAGAUCGGUGCUCGUGUGUACGUCGAGCCCUACCAGAGGACCUGAAACUAAGUUAAGUUCUUGUGUGUCUUAUGGAAUGUAAAUUGCCUAGCCUUAGUUUAGCAACCUCAUGGUAGAUGGUAAGGUGUUGAGUGUGUUUUGUUGACAUGCCGAGUGAUGAUGCUGGUAGGGGUGUAUUAUAUACUUUGUAAAUGGAGGCUCCUUUUGCAUUCGGGGCUAAUAGAUCGAUCUUUCUGUGGUGUACAGGCCGGGUGUGUGGCUGAUUUUGUUUCUGAAGGUUUCUGUGACUGUGUCGAUAGUCGGGAUUGCAUUCGGUCAGUUUUGUAAGUUAUGUUCUUUAGUAAACAGGGCCUUCCCUGGUUAACUCACCACCUGUUCUAAUUUCUGUUUUUUUUUUAUGUCGUGGUCAGUGGUUGUCGGGACUUCCUUGACCAUUACAUAAGCUGCCUGUGUCGUUAUCUUGGGUCCCGAACCAAGAUAACGACACAGGCCAGAAAGGAAGACAGGUGACUGAAAUCAGAGUAGUUAAUUUUUUUUAGAAACACUCGAAUUCCCGGGGUCGACACAGUCACAGAAACUGAAUCAGCUAUGCACUGGGCUUUGUAUGCCAUAGAAACAAAACUUGCUUUCGAAAAUUAAACCGAAACAAACAGCAACAUUACUUCCAUUUCAUCAAAGCGCACUCAACAUCCUGCCACCCAUCAUGAGAUCAUGAUUAUUCCACCUAUUUCUAUGUUAAACCUAUAUUUCGUAGUUUAAUUUUGUCUCGUCUUUUCUACCGAGGAUCAUUGCACCGUAGGAAGACAUGCCUGGACGUGGGAACUUGAGGUGCCAAGGACUGGUGAAGGAAGGUGCUGAACGGAAGGGACUUCGCAUUCGUUCCUGCACAUAUGACAAGGAAUGUGUACGGAAUGUGACAGUGGUCCUGGCGGAAGGCGUCUUGGUGUCCAGGACCUCUCGUUGUGGGUUUCCUUGGAAGUCUUCAUCAGCUUCUUCAGAAGACAUUCCAUGACUUUGUUUAGAUGUCUUGAUGGACAUGGGACCUUUCCCAGACAUUUGACAAGCAAUGUCUGGUCGUGCUAAGGAAAGGUGGGCAGUGGAGGUGGCAGGCGUCAUAGUCACGAAGGCGCUUCACAACAUCCGGAGAGACAGUGGUCCUGGCGGAAGGCGUCUUGGUGCCUCGUCUCGUUCAAUGUCUGGACUUGCUAAGGGAAAGGUGGGCAGGGGAGGUGGCAGGCGUCACAGUCACGGAGGCGCUUCACAUCCGGAGAGACAGUGGUCCUGGCGGAAGGCGUCUUGGUGCCUCGUCUCGUUGUGGGUUUCCUUGGAAGUCUUCAUCAGCUUCUUCGGAAGACAUUCAUGAUGUCUGGAUGGACAUGAAACCUUUCCUAGACAAGUUGCAACAAGUUGGGAAGGAGAGUCAUCUCUCAGCAACUUCUAGGAUCUUAUUGGUGCCAUCAAGCCGGAUCAACUACGGCCACAAUGUUCAUGGUUGGACUUAUCCCGGUGAGAGGUUGUCCGAUGCUGAUCUCCACGGUGACGUCCAGAACGAUCGGUGCUCGUGUGUACGCCUUGCCAGAGGACCGGAAAUUGUCAAGUUCUCAUGUGUCUUGGGAGGCGUUAGAUGGCAACAUGCUGCAGAUACGGUGCGCACUAACGUGUCAUUAGCCAUGAUAGAAAGUAAAUGAAUUGUGAGAUUGCAAUUAUUGCUUUAACUGAACGAACGAUACCCUCUGUACGUCCUGAGGGUAUUGUUGGAAGGACUGAUCACAACUUCUCUGUUGGUGUUAAGGUGCCUGAGGGGGUUUUGUUGACAUGCUGAGUUUUGUAGCCAGUAGGUGGUCAGGACAUUUUGUGAAUGGAGGCUUUUUUUGCACUCAACCUGUUUUAUGUGUUAUAUUUCUGUUUUAUGUCGUGGUCAGUGGUAGUCGGGAACCUCUCUGCCUCGUUUUGUUAUCUCUUGGGUCCGGAACCAAGAGAAUGACACAGGCAAGAAAGGAAGACAGUUUCAAAAAAAAUUCAGUAGAUGUCAAUAUUGCCGGUCCAUUGUACAGAGGUCUAUUGUAGCCAUUUAAAUCAAUCCUUUGGGAAAUUUCCCUACCUAAGGCUAAUUGGCUAGCGCUGUCACUAACACAAUGACACACACACACACA